CGUACACUCCUACGGGAGGCAGCAGUGGGGAAUAUUAGACAAUGGGCGCAAGCCUGAUCCAGCCAUGCCGCGUGAGUGAUGAAGGCCCUAGGGUUGUAAAGCUCUUUCACCGGUGAAGAUAAUGACGGUAACCGGAGAAGAAGCCCCGGCUAACUUCGUGCCAGCAGCCGCGGUAAUACGAAGGGGGCUAGCGUUGUUCGGAUUUACUGGGCGUAAAGCGCACGUAGGCGGACUAUUAAGUCAGGGGUGAAAUCCCGGGGCUCAACCCCGGAACUGCCUUUGAUACUGGUAGUCUUGAGUUCGAGAGAGGUGAGUGGAAUUCCGAGUGUAGAGGUGAAAUUCGUAGAUAUUCGGAGGAACACCAGUGGCGAAGACGGCAUACG
Molecule: ribosomal RNA, 383 nt
Filed under: uncultured organism
Description: partial 16S ribosomal RNA
Rfam family: Bacterial small subunit ribosomal RNA
Source: RNAcentral